RNAcentral lists this unclassified non-coding RNA (89 nucleotides) under Pseudomonas marginalis. Lineage: Bacteria; Pseudomonadati; Pseudomonadota; Gammaproteobacteria; Pseudomonadales; Pseudomonadaceae. The record is from RNAcentral.
UGUGGGAGGGGGCUUGCCCCCGAUAGGGCCGUGUCAGUUUAUGCAUGUAUCACUGACCCACCGCUAUCGGGGGCAAGCCCCCUCCCACA